This 253-nucleotide ribosomal RNA is filed under the name uncultured bacterium. RNAcentral's name for it is "partial 16S ribosomal RNA". It matches the Rfam family "Bacterial small subunit ribosomal RNA", at positions 524 to 776 of the family's 1533-position model. The record is from RNAcentral.
GACGAACCGUGCGAACGUUGUUCGGAAUCACUGGGCAUAAAGGGCGCGUAGGCGGCCUGGCAAGUGGAAGGUGAAAUCCCUCGGCUUAACCGAGGAACUGCCCUCCAAACUGCUUGGCUUGAGUCCGGGAGAGGUGAGUGGAAUUCCCAGUGUAGCGGUGAAAUGCGUAGAUAUUGGGAGGAACACCAGUGGCGAAGGCGGCUCACUGGACCGGAACUGACGCUGAGGCGCGAAAGCGUGGGGAGCAAACGGG